CCUACGGGUGGCAGCAGUGAGGAAUAUUGGUCAAUGGACGCAAGUCUGAACCAGCCAUGCCGCGUGCAGGAAGACGGCUCUAUGAGUUGUAAACUGCUUUUGUACGAGGGUAAACGCAGAUACGCGUAUCUGUCUGAAAGUAUCGUACGAAUAAGGAUCGGCUAACUCCGUGCCAGCAGCCGCGGUAAUACGGAGGAUUCAAGCGUUAUCCGGAUUUAUUGGGUUUAAAGGGUGCGUAGGCGGUCGGAUAAGUCAGAGGUGAAAUCCCGAGGCUCAACUUCGGAAUUGCCUCUGAUACUGGUCGGCGAGAGAGCAGUUGAGGUAGGCGGAAUGUAUGGUGUAGCGGUGAAAUGCUUAGAGAUCAUACAGAACACCGAUUGCGAAGGCAGCUUACCAGGGCACUACUGACGUUGAGGCACGAAAGCGUGGGGAGCAAACAGGAUUAGAUACCCGAGUAGUC
Molecule: ribosomal RNA, 460 nt
Filed under: uncultured bacterium
Lineage: Bacteria
Description: partial 16S ribosomal RNA
Rfam family: Bacterial small subunit ribosomal RNA
Source: RNAcentral